RNAcentral lists this transfer RNA (73 nucleotides) under Lachnospiraceae bacterium. RNAcentral describes it as "tRNA-Thr". It matches the Rfam family "tRNA". From Rfam's summary of the family: Transfer RNA (tRNA) molecules are approximately 80 nucleotides in length. Lineage: Bacteria; Bacillati; Bacillota; Clostridia; Lachnospirales; Lachnospiraceae. The record is from RNAcentral.
GCUUCCGUGGCACAGUAGGUAGCGCGCAUCCUUGGUAAGGAUGAGGUCGGCGGUUCAAGUCCGCUCGGAAGCU